This 397-nucleotide ribosomal RNA is filed under the name uncultured bacterium. RNAcentral describes it as "partial 16S ribosomal RNA". It matches the Rfam family "Bacterial small subunit ribosomal RNA", at positions 523 to 918 of the family's 1533-position model. The record is from RNAcentral.
AUACGUAGGGGGCGAGCGUUGUCCGGAAUGAUUGGGCGUAAAGGGCGCGUAGGCGGCCUGUUAAGUCUGGAGUGAAAGUCCUGUUUUCAAGAUGGGAAUUGCUUUGGAUACUGAUGGGCUUGAGUGCAGGAGAGGUUAUCGGAAUUCCCGGUGUAGCGGUGAAAUGCGGAGAGAUCGGGAGGAACACCAGUGGCGAAGGCGGGUAACUGGACUGCAACUGACGCUGAGGCGCGAAAGUGUGGGGAGCAAACAGGAUUAGAUACCCUGGUAGUCCACACUGUAAACGAUGAAUGCUAGGUGUAAGAGGUAUCGACCCCUUUUGUGCCGGAGUUAACACAAUAAGCAUUUCGCCUGGGGAGUACGGCCGCAAGGUUGAAACUCAAAUGAAUUGACGGGG